Hordeum vulgare subsp. vulgare (domesticated barley) is the source of this 1721-nucleotide RNA transcript. It is a transcript of the gene named DNA mismatch repair protein Mlh1-like, with no coding region annotated. The transcript has 5 exons. The record is from RefSeq and is a predicted model, not a curated record. NCBI's taxonomy places the organism in Eukaryota, Viridiplantae, Streptophyta, Magnoliopsida, Poales, Poaceae.
UCGACGCCGACUCCUCCACCAUCUCCGUCACCGUCAAGGACGGCGGCCUGAAGCUCAUCCAGGUCUCCGGCGGCGGCCACGGCAUCCGAGUACGCUCGCCCGCCCGCUUCCUAAAUAAACCCUAAACCCGGAACCCUUAGUGCUGCCGCGGGAGCCUACCAGCGCAAAAAUCCUUCAGAUGCGAGUUGUUAGUCAUGAUUUCUGUUGAUUGCGAGCUGCUAAUCCUUAGUGCGUACAUGAUCCGUUGAGUUAAAGACCAAACACACAGGACCUGGAGGAGUUGAUCUACGAGACCAAAAGGUCCAGACCUUGUGUGUUUGGUCUCCGUUCCCUUGAGUCAAUCACCAUGAUUUUACAUCAAGAUGAUGUUUCUUCUUUAACAGGGGAUGAUGAACAACAUGGUAACAAGGAGGAACUUUAACCAGCCUGUUAUAGACUAAGCACUGAAAGCAUGUUUGCAUUUACAUUAUCUCGGUCAUUCUGUUACAGGGCAGUGCAUUCGUUAUUUGUAUGAUGCUUAUUGUUUAUUAAAACAUCUGUUCCAAGGAAUAGAUUCUGAUCUUUUUAGACUAUGCUUUUUUUAAUGAAAAGUGGAAUUACUUGUAAUGAUAACCUUUAUAAGGUGGACUUUUAUGGACGUUGGAAGUUUUAUAAUAAUGGUUGUUGUACAUAUGUUAUCAUCAUACGAGAGAUAAUAUAUUCUUUUGAUCCUCACAAACUGUUGUUGCAGAUGGAGCUCAUUUUGGCUGAGUUUUCUACCGAGUUGCCACAUUUGAGGGCAUGCAAUUGAAGAAUACACCACUUUUUUCCAACGAUACUAGAGUAAUCAUAUCUAAUGAAAGAGAGAUGUAUUUUAUUUUUGUUGGAGAUAUUCUGCAUCUUAAUUUUAUGGACAGUAACAUUUUAGACAAUAAUUUGAUGUCCUAACCAUCAAGAUCAACUUCGGCAUGUAUGGUCUCUAGAAGUUACUAUUGACCAUCAUUGGUGCAUCUUGAUAUACACCUAGAAGUGUGUGGGCGUGAUUUACAACUCACUAACAGAGCUGCUCAGGCUCGCGACCGAGAUGAACGUCCUCGGCGAUGGUGGUGCCGCGUGUGAGAUCCUCCUCCCUAACAAGGCCGUUGCUGCAUCAUCUACUCUCUGCCAUUGGAUCCCCUCCUCUCCGACAAGGCCACCAUCGGAUCCCCUCUUCUCCGACAAGGCCAUGGUGAGCACCCCUCCGGCCGAGUCCGCCUCGGCUCCGGUCUCGGCGCUCGCAGCUCUGGUCGUACAAGUGCCUAAUAUAACCUCCCUUGUCUCCCUUCGCGGAUCAUCUCCAAGAAGAACCGCCUGAGAUCUACAUGUACCUCUUCGAGGCACAUCCAAGGAAGGAAGGAGAUUGAGGUCGCCGUCUCUUGAAGCAUGCUCGACGUCGAGAGAGGGAAGGGCAACCUGCAAGUUGUGUCUCCCCUUGGCAUUCCAACAUAUAUGGGAUAGUAAUUUACAAUGGAAAGGGCCAGUUUAAUUCUGCUUAUGUUUGGAGGCGGCAAUGGCAAGAGCAUAUUGUGCAGAGGGAGAGGAUGAGAAGAAACUAGUGGUUCUCAUCCAAUCUUCGUGGAACUCUCUUUAUGUGCGAUUGUGCACUUGUUGGGUCUUUUUUUGUGCGCUUGCACCUGCAUAAGUAUUCUGUUGUGCACAUGUAAAAUUAUUUUGAUGUGCCCUUGUUAGGCGUUGAACCUUAA